AUAGAAUCUACAUGAAUUCUAUUGGAAUAUUCAUGGCGUAACAGGAAUUGAAGAAUGUAUGUCAAGAUUAGUACCUUUUUAUAUACCCAUGGAAUCUAAGACAUAUAUAUGGAGUUGUCAAAUAUGAAGGCUUCCUGGAGCAACAUCUGAAGGCCAGUGGUGAACUAAGGCUUAACUGAGCUGUGCAAGUAGCUGGAUAACAUCUGUGUUGUCUUAUGGUGUCUGAGACUUACAUUCAGGAGCAACAGGUAUACCACAGGCCCCACAGCUGACCUGCACUGAAGUACUACAGCUCCCUUGCAGCUGGAGAUUUUUGGAGAUCUC
RNAcentral lists this long non-coding RNA (324 nucleotides) under Anas platyrhynchos platyrhynchos (common mallard). Its description in RNAcentral is "lncRNA (ENSAPLG00000025664.1)". Lineage: Eukaryota; Metazoa; Chordata; Aves; Anseriformes; Anatidae. The record is from RNAcentral.